AGCUUUGCGCAGUGGUAGCAUUGUAGCCAAUGAGGUUUAUCCGAGGAGUGAUUAUUGCUAAUUGAAAUGUAAGU
This 74-nucleotide small nuclear RNA is filed under the name Rattus norvegicus (Norway rat). Its description in RNAcentral is "U4 spliceosomal RNA". It matches the Rfam family "U4 spliceosomal RNA", at positions 1 to 74 of the family's 138-position model. From Rfam's summary of the family: U4 small nuclear RNA (U4 snRNA) is a component of the major U2-dependent spliceosome. Lineage: Eukaryota; Metazoa; Chordata; Mammalia; Rodentia; Muridae. The record is from Rfam by way of RNAcentral.